GCAGUCGAACGGUACAGGAUGUGCUUGCCUCGCUGACGAGUGGCGGACGGGUGAGUAAUGCUUGGGAACUUGCCUUUGCGAGGGGGAUAACAGUUGGAAACGACUGCUAAUACCGCAUAAUGUCUACGGACCAAACGGGGCUUCGGCUCCGGCGCAAAGAUAGGCCCAAGUGAGAUUAGCUAGUUGGUGAGGUAAAGGCUCACCAAGGCGACGAUCUCUAGCUGUUCUGAGAGGAAGAUCAGCCACACUGGGACUGAGACACGGCCCACACUCCUACGGGAGGCAGCAGUGGGGAAUAUUGCACAAUGGGGGAAACCCUGAUGCAGCCAUGCCGCGUGUGUGAAGAAGGCCUUCGGGUUGUAAAGCACUUUCAGUUGUGAGGAAAGGUUGGUAGUUAAUACCUGCCAGCUGUGACGUUAACAACAGAAGAAGCACCGGCUAACUCCGUGCCAGCAGCCGCGGUAAUACGGAGGGUGCGAGCGUUAAUCGGAAUUACUGGGCGUAAAGCGCACGCAGGCGGUUUGUUAAGCUAGAUGUGAAAGCCCCGGGCUCAACCUGGGAUGGUCAUUUAGAACUGGCAGACUAGAGUCUU
This 592-nucleotide ribosomal RNA is filed under the name uncultured Alteromonas sp. RNAcentral's name for it is "bacterial SSU rRNA". It matches the Rfam family "Bacterial small subunit ribosomal RNA", at positions 57 to 650 of the family's 1533-position model. Lineage: Bacteria; Pseudomonadati; Pseudomonadota; Gammaproteobacteria; Alteromonadales; Alteromonadaceae. The record is from RNAcentral.